GCCCAGCCGUAAACUUUUAAUUACAACUUAAAUCGCCAGGGAACUACGAGCCAAGCUUAAAACCCAAAGGACUUGACGGUACCCCACAUCCACCUAGAGGAGCCUGUCCUAUAAUCGAUAAUCCACGUUUAACCUCACCAUUUUUAGUUAAUCAGCCUGUAUACCUCCGUCGUCAGCUUACCACGUGAGCGCCAAUUAGUGAGCUUAAUGUUUUUCACCAAUACGUCAGGUCAAGGUGCAGCAAAUGAAAUGGGAAGAGAUGGGCUACACUUUCUAUAUUAGAAAAUACGAAAAACUACUUAUGAAACCUAGUUAGAAGGCGGAUUUAGCAGUAAAAAGGAAUCAGCAUAUUCAUUUUAACCCGGCACUGGGGUGUGU
RNAcentral lists this ribosomal RNA (378 nucleotides) under Anaxyrus canorus (Yosemite toad). RNAcentral describes it as "partial 12S ribosomal RNA". It matches the Rfam family "Bacterial small subunit ribosomal RNA", at positions 794 to 1384 of the family's 1533-position model. Lineage: Eukaryota; Metazoa; Chordata; Amphibia; Anura; Bufonidae. The record is from RNAcentral.